RNAcentral lists this ribosomal RNA (236 nucleotides) under uncultured bacterium. RNAcentral's name for it is "partial 16S ribosomal RNA". It matches the Rfam family "Bacterial small subunit ribosomal RNA", at positions 118 to 347 of the family's 1533-position model. The record is from RNAcentral.
UGAGGAACAUGACCUUCGGCGGGGGAUAGCCGGCCCAACGGCCGGGUAAUACCGCGUACGACCACAUGGGGACAUCCCUGAGUGGUGAAAGCAGCAAUGCGCCGAUGGAGUGCCUCGCGGCCUAUCAGCUAGUUGGUGAGGUAACGGCUCACCAAGGCAACGACGGGUAGCUGGCCUGAGGAGGGUGACCGGCCACACUGGAACUGAGACACGGUCCAGACUCCGUACGGGAGCAG